UCUUGCAAGAAUAAAACCAAAGCUUGUUUUAUAUACUGUUUUUUAAAGCAUGAAAAGGUAAUGGAAUGGGAUUAGUGUGGCGUGUGAAGAAUCCAAUACAUUACCUUGUAUGCAGAACAAAUCACAUUAUUGUGGAAGCACCUCCUCUAUGAGCAUGAAUGAGGCUGUUUGAGAAGGUUUGACUCCUAAACAACCUGUAUACACAUAAUCUAAAGUACAAUACCAACAUAACUACUGUAGUAGGUCAAAGCUGUGGGAUGGAAAACCUUGGUAGAGCAUGGGGUGGAGUAGGCAUUGUGGUGCUGUAAAACCUUGGUAGAGCAUGGGUGGAGUAGGCAUUGUGGUGCUGUAAAACCUUGGUAGAGCAUGGGUGGAGUAGGCAUUGUGGUCCUGUAAAACCUUGGUUGAGCAUGGGGUGCAGUAGGCAUUGUGGUGCUGUAAAACCUUGGUAGAGCAUGGUAGGCAUUGUGGUGCUCAUGUGAAGUUGUAGAGCAGUUAGAUCAUAGUGUGUUAUCUUAUCUCAUUAGUCUACCGGUUAGACCAUAGUGUGUUAUCAUUUCAGUAGUAGACCAGUUAGACCAUAGUGUAAUCAUUUCAGUAGUAGACCAGUUAGACCAUAGUGUUAUCAUUUCAGUAGUAGACCAGUUAGACCAUAGUGUGUUAUCAUUUCAGUAUUAGACCAUAGUGUAAUCAUUUCAGUAUUAGACCAUAGUGUGUUAUCAUUUCAGUAGUCUACCAGUUAGACCAUAGUGUGUUAUCAUUUCAGUAGUAGACCAGUUAGACCAUAGUGUUAUCAUUUCAGUAGUAGACCAUAGUGUUAUCAUUUCAGUAGUAGACCAGUUAGACCAUAGUGUA
RNAcentral lists this long non-coding RNA (855 nucleotides) under Salmo salar (Atlantic salmon). Its description in RNAcentral is "lncRNA (ENSSSAG00000092894.1, ENSSSAG00000099321.1)". The record is from RNAcentral. Lineage: Eukaryota; Metazoa; Chordata; Actinopteri; Salmoniformes; Salmonidae.